UUUCUCUGUGGGGGGGAAUGAAAAACCCCUCGAAUAGAGAGUCAAAAAGUUCGUGAAACGCCUAGGGGUUCCCUUCGGGUUGCCGGGGGCGGCCCCGCCGCAGGGCACUUGUUUUUUUGCCCUAGCCCAGAGGGCACUGCGAUUCAUUUCGAAACAGCUUUUGCGCCGCAAAGCGCAAGGUCGCCCGACAACUGCCCCCUGGUGCUGGUUGCUUGCCCCACAGUAGCGACGCUCAGUUCUGAAGGCCUGUGCCGCGAGGUGGGGCUUACUGCACGUGGUGUUCUAGCAGUCGGGCGCGUGAUGGAUUCCCCCGGACACCGGGUGGUCUUCCCGCAAGGGGCCACCGGACUGUCGAUCGGCAGGAAAGAAUCGAGGUACCUUCGGACCCGUCUA
RNAcentral lists this ribosomal RNA (393 nucleotides) under Aedes albopictus (Asian tiger mosquito). RNAcentral's name for it is "partial 28S ribosomal RNA". Lineage: Eukaryota; Metazoa; Arthropoda; Insecta; Diptera; Culicidae. The record is from RNAcentral.